This 251-nucleotide ribosomal RNA is filed under the name uncultured prokaryote. RNAcentral describes it as "partial 16S rRNA". It matches the Rfam family "Bacterial small subunit ribosomal RNA", at positions 525 to 775 of the family's 1533-position model. The record is from RNAcentral.
ACGUAGGGGGCAAGCGUUGUCCGGAUUUAAUGGGUGUAAAGGGUGCUCAGGCGGAUUUGUAAGUCAGAGGGGAAAUCUGACAGCUUAACUGUGAAACUGCGUUUGAUACUGCAAGUCUAGAGUAUGGAAGAGAGUGAUGGAAUGUCUGGUGUAGCGGUGAAAUGCGUAGAUAUCAGGUAGAACACCAGUGGCGAAGGCAGUCACCUGGUCCAUUACUGACGCUAAAGCACGAAAGCUUUGGUAGCAAACGG